This 468-nucleotide ribosomal RNA is filed under the name uncultured bacterium. RNAcentral's name for it is "partial 16S ribosomal RNA". It matches the Rfam family "Bacterial small subunit ribosomal RNA", at positions 28 to 507 of the family's 1533-position model. The record is from RNAcentral.
GACGAACGCUGGCGGCGUGCUUAACACAUGCCAGUCGAACGGAAAGGCCCUGCUUUUGUGGGGUGCUCGAGUGGCGAACGGGUGAGUAACACGUGAGUAACCUGCCCUUGACUUUGGGAUAACUUCAGGAAACUGGGGCUAAUACCGGAGAGGAGCUCCUGCUGCAUGGUGGGGGUUGGAAAGUUUCGGCGGUUGGGGAUGGACUCGCGGCUUAUCAGCUUGUUGGUGGGGUAGUGGCUUACCAAGGCUUUGACGGGUAGCCGGCCUGGGAGGGUGACCGGGCACCUUGGGACUGAGAGACGGACCAGACUCCUACGGGCGGCAGCAGUGGGGAAUAUUGCACAAUGGGCGGAAGCCUGAUGCAGCAACGCCGCGUGCGGGAUGCCCGCCUUCGGGGUGUAAACCGCUUUCGCCUGUGACGAAGCGUGAGUGACGGUAAUGGGUAAAGAAGCACCGGCUAACUACGUG